UUUUUAGUAUAAGUAUGUCCAGUGCAACUUUGGGGACAUACUUAUACUAAAA
RNAcentral lists this microRNA precursor (52 nucleotides) under Loxodonta africana (African savanna elephant). Its description in RNAcentral is "mir-1302 microRNA precursor family". It matches the Rfam family "mir-1302 microRNA precursor family". Lineage: Eukaryota; Metazoa; Chordata; Mammalia; Proboscidea; Elephantidae. The record is from Rfam by way of RNAcentral.